UCCUCCUUGAUCAGUAGGUUGCUGAGAGC
RNAcentral lists this non-coding RNA (29 nucleotides) under Macaca fascicularis (crab-eating macaque). RNAcentral also lists the same sequence under 1 other name. Lineage: Eukaryota; Metazoa; Chordata; Mammalia; Primates; Cercopithecidae. The record is from RNAcentral.